RNAcentral lists this ribosomal RNA (717 nucleotides) under uncultured eukaryote. RNAcentral describes it as "bacterial SSU rRNA". It matches the Rfam family "Eukaryotic small subunit ribosomal RNA", at positions 668 to 1426 of the family's 1831-position model. The record is from RNAcentral.
AUUCAUCAUGUAUGCUUUUCUAAUUAUAAUGGGGGGGUGGGGGAUGAAGAGGGAACUUUUCGGAGCCACACACCGGAAUUUACUUUUGAGGAAAUUAAAGUGUCAUAGCAAAUAGUGUUUGAAUACUACAGCAUGAUACAAAUAGGACUUUGGUAUGUUUUGUGGAGUAGAGAAACCCAAAGUAAAGAUGAAUAGGGACAGUUGGGGGCAUUGGAAUUGAUAGUCAGAGGUGAAAUUCAUGGAUUUAUCAAAGACCAACAAAGGCGAAAGCAUUUGCCAAGGAUGUUUUCAUUGAUCAAGAACGAAAGUCAGGGGAUCGAAGACGAUUAGAUACCGUCGUAGUCUUGACCGUAAACGAUGCCGACUUGGGGGAGGUGCGAGAUGAGAAGCGCAUCACAACCAAAGGAGAAAUCAAAGUGUAUGGGUUCUGGGGGGAGUAUAGUCGCAAGGCCGAAACUUGAAGGAAUUGACGGAAGGGCACCACCAGGAGUGGAGCCUGCGGCUUAAUUUGACUCAACACGGGAAAACUUACCAGGUCCGGACAUGAUGAGGAUUGACAGAUUGAGAGCACUUUUAAGAUUUCAUGGGAGGUGGUGCAUGGCCGUUCUUAGUUGGUGGAGUGAUUUGUCAGGUUAAUUCCGAUAACGAGCGAGACCCUGUGAUGACGGUAAUGAUUGAGUAUGUAAAUACGCGAGACGUUUCUUCAUCGACACCCCA